GACGAACGCUGGCGGCAUGCCUAACACAUGCAAGUCGAACGAAAAGUCCGGGUCUAGUGUCGCCCGGGUGCGUAACCGGUGGGAACAUUCCCUUGUGUUCGGAAUAACUCCCCGACAGGGGUGCUAUUACCGGAUAAUAUCUUCGGACCAAUGAUUUAUGGCGCUUGGUUGUGCCGGCGUUGGAUUAGCUUGUUAUUAGGGUAAAAGCCUACCACGGCGAGGAUGCAUAGCUGGUCAGAGAGGAUGAUCAGCGACACUGAGACGGAGACACGGCCGAGACUCCUACGGGAGGCAGCAGUGGGGAAGAUUGGACAAUGGGCGAAGGGCUGAUGCAGCCAGGCCGCGUGAGUUAUGAAGGUCUUGGGGUUGAAAAGCUCUUUUACCUGGGAUGAUAAUGACGGUACCGGGAGAAUAAGCUCCGGCUAACUCCGUG
RNAcentral lists this ribosomal RNA (433 nucleotides) under uncultured bacterium. RNAcentral's name for it is "partial 16S ribosomal RNA". It matches the Rfam family "Bacterial small subunit ribosomal RNA", at positions 28 to 507 of the family's 1533-position model. The record is from RNAcentral.